Molecule: ribosomal RNA, 253 nt
Filed under: uncultured bacterium
Lineage: Bacteria
Description: partial 16S ribosomal RNA
Rfam family: Bacterial small subunit ribosomal RNA
Source: RNAcentral
UACGGGGGGGGCAAGCGUUGUUCGGAAUUACUGGGCGUAAAGGGCGCGUAGGCGGCCCGCUUAGUCGGACGUGAAAUCCCUCGGCUCAACCGGGGAACUGCGUCUGAUACUGGGCGGCUUGAAUUCGGGAGAGGAAUGCGGAAUUCCAGGUGUAGCGGUGAAAUGCGUAGAUAUCUGGAGGAACACCGGUGGCGAAGGCGGCAUUCUGGACCGACAUUGACGCUGAGGCGCGAAAGCCAGGGGAGCAAACGGG